AUGCACGCUGGCGGCGUGCCUAAUCCAUGCAAGUCGCGCGAACAGACGAGGAGCUUGCUCCUCUGACGUUAGCGGCGGACGGGUGAGUAACCCGUGGAUAACCUACCUAUAAGACUGGGAUAACUUCGGGAAACCGGAGCUAAUACCGGAUAAUAUAUUGAACCGCAUGGUUCAAUAGUGAAAGACGGUUUUGCUGUCACUUAUAGAUGGAUCCGCGCCGCAUUAGCUAGUUGGUAAGGUAACGGCUUACCAAGGCGACGAUGCGUAGCCGACCUGAGAGGGUGAUCGGCCACACUGGAACUGAGACACGGUCCAGACUCCUACGGGAGGCAGCAGUAGGGAAUCUUCCGCAAUGGGCGAAAGCCUGACGGAGCAACGCCGCGUGAGUGAUGAAGGUCUUCGGAUCGUAAAACUCUGUUAUUAGGGAAGAACAAAUGUGUAAGUAACUAUGCACGUCUUGACGGUACCUAAUCAGAAAGCCACGGCUAACUACGUG
RNAcentral lists this ribosomal RNA (496 nucleotides) under uncultured bacterium. RNAcentral's name for it is "partial 16S ribosomal RNA". It matches the Rfam family "Bacterial small subunit ribosomal RNA", at positions 29 to 507 of the family's 1533-position model. The record is from RNAcentral.